CCAGCCGUAAACUAUGCGCGUUAGGUGUAUCGGUGACCACGAGUUACCGAGGUGCCGAAGGGAAACCGUGAAACGUGCCGCCUGGGAAGUACGGUCGCAAGGCUGAAACUUAAAGGAAUUGGCGGGGGAGCACCACAACACGGUGGAGCCUGCGGUUUAAUUGGACUCAACGCCGGGAAGCUCACCGGAUAGGACAGCAGAAUGAUUGCCGGGCUGAAGACCCUGCACUGACUAGCUGAGAGGAGGUGCAUGGCGUC
This 257-nucleotide ribosomal RNA is filed under the name uncultured archaeon. Its description in RNAcentral is "partial 16S ribosomal RNA". It matches the Rfam family "Archaeal small subunit ribosomal RNA", at positions 747 to 1001 of the family's 1478-position model. The record is from RNAcentral.